RNAcentral lists this ribosomal RNA (444 nucleotides) under uncultured organism. Its description in RNAcentral is "partial 16S ribosomal RNA". It matches the Rfam family "Bacterial small subunit ribosomal RNA", at positions 335 to 796 of the family's 1533-position model. The record is from RNAcentral.
ACUCCUACGGGAGGCAGCAGUGGGGAAUAUUGGACAAUGGGCGCAAGCCUGAUCCAGCCAUGCCGCGUGAGUGAUGAAGGCCCUAGGGUUGUAAAGCUCUUUCACCGGAGAAGAUAAUGACGGUAUCCGGAGAAGAAGCCCCGGCUAACUUCGUGCCAGCAGCCGCGGUAAUACGAAGGGGGCUAGCGUUGUUCGGAAUUACUGGGCGUAAAGCGCACGUAGGCGGAUCGAUCAGUCAGGGGUGAAAUCCCAGGGCUCAACCCUGGAACUGCCUUUGAUACUGUCGAUCUGGAGUAUGGAAGAGGUGAGUGGAAUUCCGAGUGUAGAGGUGAAAUUCGUAGAUAUUCGGAGGAACACCAGUGGCGAAGGCGGCUCACUGGUCCAUUACUGACGCUGAGGUGCGAAAGCGUGGGGAGCAAACAGGAUUAGAAACCCGAGUAGUCC